Molecule: long non-coding RNA, 8156 nt
Filed under: Nicotiana benthamiana
Lineage: Eukaryota; Viridiplantae; Streptophyta; Magnoliopsida; Solanales; Solanaceae
Description: long non-coding RNA (NBEN_LNC024640)
Source: RNAcentral
AAUCUUUGAUUCUUUUCCACCGCCACAACCACAAAAUUUCCACCAGCCUGCCACUAUUGCAUCACCAGAUACAAAAACGGAAGCAUACCAUUAAGCAAAUCUCCUGAUUCAAUACCAUAAAAAAAUGAAUCUCUGCACCAUUAUUUUCCUCUUCCUAUCUUAUUGUUAACCUUGGAUAGAUUUGCUUGCCGCCAAUGUAAGUCCCGUAACAUUACUGUCAAUAUAUAAAAAGGAGCAGUAGUUUGACACUCUUCUUUUGCUUAUUUAUAUCUAUACAUUGAAUUUUUCCUUUUGGAGUUCUAAAGCACAAACCUCUUACUUCCAUUACAAAAUCUUUCUAAGCUUAAUUUAUGGCGGAUUUUGACUGAGAAAGUAGUAUUUUCGAAGUUAUGAUUCGUGGCCUGAAUGGUUUCCUCAUUAUAAAUGACAGUAGCUAUAAUAGAGAGGUUCGUUAGUUUGGCUUGAUUUUCCAGUGGGAAGAAUUCUCAGAUUGUCUUAAAGUGAGGGAAGGUAGCAGGUAGUCUAAGAUAGGAAAGAGAUUCCCGGCGAGAUUUUCGGUGGUCGGAGGUGGUCUCAGGCAUAGGUAGAAGUGACACCAGCAAUAAAGGAGAGGGCGAGAGAUUCGGGAAAACUUAAUUGAACUAGAAGUUUUUUCUUUAAAAGUGAAAUCCACAUCACAUAUUAAUUGGUCUUUUAAAAUAAAAAUAUAAAACAUGUCAGACGUUUGAGAUUAACACACCUUGUUGUUGUCAAAGGUUAUCAAUUACUUGUUUAAUAGACACAUUUUCACCACAUACUAAGUAUUCAAUAGGAACAUGAGUUAGUUCAAGUGUUUAAAUAGAAAAAUAGGACAAGUUUAAGGAGCUGUAUAUUUAUUUGGCCUUUGAAUUUUAUAUAAUGCAAAUAAUCAACGAAACUUUCUGAGCAACUGAGCUUAAUCAAUUGAAGGAAGUAAGUAACUAAUUCAUUAACUAAUGUUCCUAAUGUGUUGAGACCAUAUAUUUGUAUCAAUAUUAGACUAUACUCUACGAAAAUUUGUGAAAGUGUGAACAUAACCAUAAAAACAUCGUUUUGUUAUUUGUUUAUUUUUCUUCAUUUGUGUUUUCUUAGAGAAGACAGACCUAUUAAAUAUUAUUCUGCUCCUAGAUAAUUUUGAAAGAAUGCGAAUACUAUCACUUAAGGUAUCAUCAGGGGCAUAUGCAGAAAUUUUUAUAAAUAUGGUCGAAAUUUAUAAAUAAAAAAAGAUAGGAAUAUAACUUUGAUUAUCACACUUUUAGACAAGAAAUAAUCUUAAUUUAUUGACUUUGUUAAGUAUUAAGCAAAUAUUUACAAAAAAAAAAUUUCUUAGUUGAGAUUUGAACUUUUGACCUCCUAGAAAAAAUUCAAGUACAAUACCAACACACAAUUUAUGUUAAAUGAUGUCAUUUUUUUCUACUUAAUAAUUUCUGUAAAAUAUUAAUAUAUAUUUAAUAACAAAAUUUGACGAAACAGUAUUGUAUGACACCGCUUCGAUAAGCAUAAAUUUGCCCCUGGUUAUCACGUACAUAAUUUUACAAAGGAAAAAUAUUUAAAUUUAUCCCUUUACUUUGAUAUAUAUUUUAUAUUUAUCUUUCAUUUCCGUUUGCGUCUAAUGUAUCUCUACGGUUAUAUAAAGUUGACAAAUUCACCCAACCCUAAUGGAGGUCCACAUGAAAUGGGACCCAUCACUUAAAAAUUGACACCUGAAUUACAAAUGACCCAAUCCAAUUUAUCACCUAAUUCCCUUUUACAACAUAUUGGGUAAAGAAACAAUCAAGUAAUCAACUCUUCUUGUGAGAACCAACUUUUCUUGUGCCCAUAUUUUUUCAUCUCAUUUCGUACAGCAAAUUCCACAUGCUACUAUGUACAUGAUAUCUGUAUUAAAUAAUAAUUAGAAUGUUCAAGAGAUUAUAUUUAUAUAUUGUAAUGUCAAAUUAUAGUUUUUGGACCAAGUAAGAAAUUAAUGAAAAAAAAAGUUUAUUUUAAAAAUUAUUUGGGUGAAAAAAAAUAUUUUUAAAUAAAAUAUAAAUCGAAUAAGCUAUUAAAUUUAAUAUAGAAUUUAUUAAAUUAAAAUAUAGUAAAGUUAAAGCAUCAGACAGAGUAAGGAGAUUAAGUUGAGAAAUCAAUUAAAAUAAAAUAUAACAACUAUUAGAAAUGACAAGUAUAGAAUAAAAUGGCUGGUUUUAACUUAAAAGUCACAAAAGGUACAUGUUAUUAAUUUUUUUAUUUAAAAUCGCUAUAUUACUAACAACUCAGCAGGAUAUAAGGUAAUGACUAAAUGUAGUAAAUUGAUCUUGAAAAUCAAUUCACUAGAAUACUAGUAUUAGGAAAAUAAUUCAGGAAAUGACGGCAAGGCAAUAAGUCGAUGACUAUAACUCAAUCCUCGAAAACUAGGAAAAAAUCGAAAAUACAAAUCCUCAGAGUCUCGUACGAAAGAAUCGAAGCCAACAAUAUAACAAGGAAUACAAAACACAUAAACUAUUGCAGGGUGCAACUCGAUCCCAUCAUAUAAUGCUAUUUAUACUUAUUCCAACAUGUGAAUAUCAAUAGUAAUGAAUAAAUAUAUAUAUAUAUUGCGGCGCGCAAUCACCAUAUAAUAUCAAUAUCAUUAUUCACCAUUAUUAUAUCGUAUCAAUUCACUCUUAUUUUACCUGUUGCGACGUACAACGCGAUCCUACUGUACAAUAUCAAUAUCAUAACAAUAAACAAAAUAUGUUGUGAUGCGCAAUCUGAUCCCACCAUAUAAUAUCAAAAUCAUAAUUAACCUUUAUUUCACAUGUUACAGCAUGCAACCCGAUUCCCCGUACAAUAAUUUAAAUCAACAGCAACAAUUCAAUAACUCAAUAGACAAGAAUUUCAACAAUCAAGGGUAUGAGUACACAACAACCAAGGGACCGGGUAAAAUCAAAGGAAUAUGACGAAUUUUACAAAAACAACAAGACAGCUAAGGCAAGCGAUAACUAAGUAUGUAUCACAACAAUUAGGACAUGCAACAGAUAAGCACAAAGUCAGAGAAAAAAUUCAACAAUUAAGAGGUAAUAAGACAAUAAGAAGGCAGUAACCACAACUAAGGCAUAUAAGAGCCAAAUAACGAGUCGAGGUACAAUAAGUGUUAACAGCGUCAAAUAGAGCAUGUAAGUAUAGACUAACAACGAGAUAUCACAUGUUAUGACAACUCAAUUAAAGGUGUGAGAAGAGACUAAAUAUUCUGAAUCGGUCAAUUAUUACAUAGAACGUGUACCCACUCGUCUUCUUGUGUACACAGCUUUCACAUAGCAAGAUAGCACAAUUAACUCAAUUCCUAAGGAGUAGUUUUGUCACGACCUGGGUUUUCCACCGUCGGUACCGUGAUGGAGCCUGAUAUUUCACUUGCUAGGCAAGAUAACGUUAGGACAUAUUGUCCAUUUUUGACAUUCUAAAAUUAAUCAAUAAAGAAGAACUGAUUUAACUACAAUAAUUCAAAUGUAAAUGUGGAAGCUAAAAUCGUAAAACAUCUACUACAAAUUCUUGAAUCAGGUGUCAUAAGUGCAUGAGCUUCUAGAGUAAUACAUAUAAGGGUCUAAAAUAAAUACGAAGCUAUUUGAAUGAAAAUACACAGCUAAAUAAAAAAAGGAUGGGGACUUCAAGAGCUGUGGGCAUAGAACACUGUACCUAAAAUCUAUGCAAAUGUUCAAUUCGAGCAUGCUAAUAACCACCGUUAGGACCGACUCUAAAAUAUGCACAGUGUAGUAUCAGUACAACCGACCUCAUGUAUUGGUAAGUGACGAGCCUAACCUCGACGAAGUAGUGACGAGGCUAAGGCGGGUCACCUACACUAUAACAUAUAUGUAGUAUAUAUAAUAAUGACACGAUAAAAGAAAUACUAAACAAAAUUAAACAGUCAACUGAAAAUGAUAACCACAACCUCAAGAACAAACCAACGGCGUCCAGAAUUACCAAUCAUUAAUAGUUUAAAUACAAAUACUGGAGAACCAACAUAGCUCAAGAAAUAGAAACAUAUAGAUUGUUGCGACGCGCAACCCGAUACCACCAGAAAACACAAAAUCCUCCCUUAUUUCAUCGUGAUAGCAUCAACAACAGAGAUAAUAUACAUAAAUAUAUUGCAGGGCGCAAUCCGAUCUCACCAUAUAUCAAUAUCAGUAUCGUAUUCACCAAUAUUCCACCCUUAUUCCACUUGUUGUAGCGUGCGACCUGAUCCUGCCAUAUAGUAUAUAGUCGCCCUUACUUUACCAUAUCAUUCCACCCUUAUUACACUUGUUGCGACGUCCAGCCCGAUCCCACUAUAUCAGUAGCAAAUACAAUAUGCACAGUCAAAUUAACAGUUCAAACCACCAAACCUUUACAAUCAAUAAAUGUCAAAGUGAACUGAAUUGGAAACCUUGAACAAUAUAAGAAUCUACGUAAGUAAUAUUACGCAGCGAGACAAUUCGAGCAAUUUACAAUUAGAAAGUACAAGCAAGUCAAAUUUAACAAAUAGCAGGGUUUCGUGAAACUAUGAAAGAGCUAACAUCAUGAGCUGGAGAAUACAUUGAUUAACAAGUAGCAGUUCAGCAGGGAAAAUAUUUAUAGCAUUUAACAAUUAAGACAAGGAAAAAAGCAAUUGAGUAAAAGUGGAAAAUCGGGAAAAAUAGAUAAUUCUGGGGGAAUGGUUAGAAUCACUUACCAAUAUUUUGGGGAAGAAAUGGUCUUGGAAAAAUCACCUCUAGUGUUCUACGAUUUAAAAUUUUGAUGAAUGAGAAAAAAUCCCGUCUAAAUUAAGUUUUGAUCAGUUGCAGGUGUUUCACUUGCGACCUGGGUUCACAAAUGCGAACUUUCCUUCGCAAAUGCGAAAAGUGCCUCCGCAUGCUGCCUUUGCAAAUGCGAACAAUUGUUCGCAAAUGCGGCCUAUGAUGAUUGCAAUUACGAUCUAGAGCUUCGCAAUUGCAAAUGUCCCCCUCCAGCCCCACUGCUCGCAGAUGUGAUGGCUUCUUUGCAAAUGCAAGCCAGACCUUGCAAAUGCAAAGUCUAUAGAUCAAGUGCAUCAAUUGGUGUGUGUUUUCUAAGUUCAAACACUCUAUAACCUAUCUAAAACUCACCUGAGCCCUCAAGGCUCCAAACCAAAUAUGUAUACAAGUCCUAAAAUAUCAUAUGAACUUGUUCGUGUGCUCAAAUCGCCAAAAUAACACCUAGAACUACGAAUGAAUACCAAAUCGAAUGAAAUUUUCAAGAAAGCUUUAAAACAUCUAUUUUCACAACUGGGCGUCCAAAUCAGGUCAAACUAACUCUGUUUCUCAUCAAAUUUCACAGACAAGUCAUAAAUAUUAUAAUGGACAUGUGAUGGGCUCCGGAAUCAAAAUAUGGACCUGGUAUCAACAAGGCUAAACUUCAAUCGAUUCAUAAAACCAUUAAACUUUUAGAGUUUUAAUUUUUAACAAAAAAUCAUAACUUGAGCUAGGGACCUCCGAAUUCGAUUUCGGGCAUAAGCCCAGAUUUUAUAUUUUGAUACGGACCCACCAGGACCACAAAAACACAUACCCGGGUCUGUAUACUUAAAAUGCUAACCGAAAUCAACUCUAAUUAAUUUUUAUAGCAAAAAUUCUUAUUUUUGUCAAUUUUUAACAUAUAAGCCUUCCAGAUCAACACCCAGACUGCACAUGCAAAUCAAGGAAGGGUAAAAUGAGGUUCUAAAGGCCUUGAAACAUACAAUUUGAUUCUAAAACCUUAGAUGAGCUAACUUUGUUUUGAGUAAUUGCAUUUUGCUCGGUAGUUUAGGGGCACGAGCAGCUAUGUAUGAUGUAUUAGGACUUGUUGAUAUGUUUGUAUGGAGUUUCAAGGGGCUGGGGUGAGUUUCUAAUAUGUUUGGGGUGCGUUGGGCUUACUUUUCUUAUGUUUUGACGUUAUUUCUUCAAGUAUAAAUGGUACCACAUUAAACAAAUGAGCUCCGAUUUCUGUUUUAAUUGAAGCAUUAGAUCCUUGUCGUAAUUACGGAUUCAUAUCAAAUAGAAUUAACAAAUUUGAACACUGUAUAAGGAAUUUAUGGUCAUUUUACUAAGAAUUUGGUUGUCAUAUUUUUUAUAUUAAUUACGAAAUUAUCACUGACUUCGUAUUUAUAAAUCAGCCUAUUUAGAUAAAAUGAAACGAACAUAUCUCCUCCAUUAUAAGGUUAAAUGGAGUGAUUCAAAAGCCUAGCUUGACUAAAAUUUCAUAAUGAAUCAAUUGGAGGCAUAAAAAGUGAGUUUCGGGAUCGUUUAGAAUGAGAAAAGAAGUAGAAUAGAUGUCAGAAAAUAUAUAAAAGAAUGGUUUGUUCAUUUGGUCAUAUUUUGAGUUUGGGAACUUGGAUUUUGGCGAUUUUGGAGAAGAUGUCCACCAUAUGGAUUGUGGUAAGUGUUCUCUACUCGUUUUUUUGUUAUAUUUUAUGAAUCCAUCUUCACUUUUGGGAUUUGAUUGAUUACUUCAAAGUGAAAUUUGAGGAUUUUUUCCCUAAAGUUUCAUAAAGUGAUUUUUUAUGUUUCGAACAUCGAUUCGAUGUCAGAUUUGAGUAAAACUAGUAUGGCUGAACUCAUAAUUGAAUGGACUGUCAGAUUUUGUAAGUUUUGUCAAAUUUUGAGGUGAGGACCCAUGUUAGGCUUUUGGUCGAUUUUGGGCUUUUGAUUAAAGAUUCGACCUUUUUCAAUUGGGAUUGGUUUCUUUAGUAUUAUUUGAUGUAUUUGAGUUGUUUUCUGGUUAGUUUCGAGUCAUUCGGAGGUUGGGACGAGCGUGAUGGCAUUUUUGGAGCAUCGCCGUUGGUUUGCUCGAUGUUGUAAUUGGCUUACUCAAAAUACAUAACUCUUCUAAACUUAGUGUUAAGGGUAUGAAACCCCAAAUUAUGUGUUGUGUCAUUGAUAUUAAUGUGACGCACAUGCUAGGGGACAACGUGUGAUCAUGCACCUUGUGAAUUAUAACUCCAUUGUUUUCAUGGCAAUGUUAAGUGACCCUAUUUUGUUGAUAUCUGUAUUUUUACCAUAUGAUUAAGUUAUUGGGUUGUCAAUCAUGCUAAAUAUCAUAUUUAGAUUUUAUGUUGAUAUUGUUAGGGCCCAUAGUGGUCGCUUCUUACUGUCAUCUCACUGGUUCUGUUAAUAUUUCAUACCCAGUCAUAUUCAUGCAUCUGUAUCAUAUCUCAGUCUUAACUGUUGUUUAUUGAUACAUCAUAUCGUUGUUGUCGGACUAGUUUUAUGAUAUUGUGAGCCCGUGAGUGAGAUUGGAGAGAUUGAUGAUUGAGAGGGACUGAGGGCCUAAUUAUGCGUUUAUUGAUACUAUAGCACGUGAGUUGUCCAUGCAACACAUGAUUUGUCUAUGCAGAUUAUGAUAUUGAUACUAUAGCACGUGAGUUGUCUGUGCAACAUGUGAGUUACCCAUGCAGAUUAUAGUGCUUGUUCUGAAGGAGCCCCUCCGGAGUCUUUAUACCCUAGUGAGCGCAGUUGACUAUGAAUAAUAUAUAUGGAUCUAGUUGCACGUCGCGACCAGUAUUGUACAGUGCUGAGUAAUUGAGUGCACUUAGUACUGAGCAUAGUAAUAGAUAAUAUGAGACAGUAAGGUUGAGUACUCCGAGAGUAUGAGUACAUAAGUUCAUCAAUGAGAGGCAUUGUAUUUGACAUACAUACUUGAAAUACACGCAUAGAGAUGUAUUUCCUUUUUCUACCCGAUUUUUGUGACAUUCAUGAUUUUCUAUAUGUAUCUUGACAUGUAGGCAUAGAUAUAUACUUCCUCACGCUAUCUAAAAAUGAAACAUUUACCUGAAAAAAAGUUUUUUGGGGGGAAAAUUAUAGUUUUCAAACUUACUCGUAUGUUUAGAUGAUUUCAAUAAAGAAUUUGGGUUUUCACUAAUAUACUUGAACAAUGGAUCUGUUUUCGGAAAACUAUGAAAAACCUGAACAUUUUAUCUCUGGGUUGCUUCUUUAUUUACUUGCUUUAUAUUGUUAUGAAUUAUUGUUGAUUAUUGGUGUUGGACCCGACCUAUGUUCCAGCUCGUCGCUAUUUUUAUCUUGAGGUUAUGUUUGUUACUUUUUGAGUACAUGGGAUCAGUUGUACUCAUACUACACUUUCUAUACAUUGUGUGCAGAUCUCGGAUGCCAAUGUUGUUAUGUUCGAUGAGAGCUGGAAUGGAAGAUGUAUAUGUGUCC